This 274-nucleotide ribosomal RNA is filed under the name uncultured bacterium. RNAcentral describes it as "partial 16S ribosomal RNA". It matches the Rfam family "Bacterial small subunit ribosomal RNA", at positions 523 to 796 of the family's 1533-position model. The record is from RNAcentral.
AUACGGAGGGGGCAAGCGUUGUUCGGAAUUACUGGGCGUAAAGAGUACGUAGGCGGAUCGUUAAGUUAGAGGUGAAAUCCCAGGGCUCAACCCUGGAACUGCCUUUAAUACUGGCGAUCUAGAGAUCGGGAGAGGUGAGUGGAAUUUCCAGUGUAGCGGUGAAAUUCGUAGAUAUUGGAAAGAACACCAGUGGCGAAGGCGGCUCACUGGCUCGAUACUGACGCUGAGGUACGAAAGCGUGGGGAGCAAACAGGAUUAGAAACCCUAGUAGUCC